This 492-nucleotide ribosomal RNA is filed under the name uncultured bacterium. RNAcentral's name for it is "partial 16S ribosomal RNA". It matches the Rfam family "Bacterial small subunit ribosomal RNA", at positions 29 to 507 of the family's 1533-position model. The record is from RNAcentral.
AGUGAACGCUGGCGGUAGGCCUAACACAUGCAAGUCGAACGGCAGCACAGUAAGAGCUUGCUCUUACGGGUGGCGAGUGGCGGACGGGUGAGGAAUACAUCGGAAUCUACUUUUUCGUGGGGGAUAACGUAGGGAAACUUACGCUAAUACCGCAUACGACCUACGGGUGAAAGCAGGGGAUCUUCGGACCUUGCGCGAUUGAAUGAGCCGAUGUCGGAUUAGCUAGUUGGCGGGGUAAAGGCCCACCAAGGCGACGAUGCGUAGCUGGUCUGAGAGGAUGAUCAGCCACACUGGAACUGAGACACGGUCCAGACUCCUACGGGAGGCAGCAGUGGGGAAUAUUGGACAAUGGGCGCAAGCCUGAUCCAGCCAUACCGCGUGGGUGAAGAAGGCCUUCGGGUUGUAAAGCCCUUUUGUUGGGAAAGAAAAGCAGCAGAUUAAUACCCCGCUGUUCUGACGGUACCCAAAGAAUAAGCACCGGCUAACUUCGUG